AUUGAACGCUGGCGGCAGGCCUAACACAUGCAAGUCGAGCGGAGCGGCGGACGGGUGAGGAAUGCCUAGGAAUCUGCAUGGUAGUGGGGGAUAACGUCCGGAUACGGGCGCUAAUACCGCAUACUAUCAGAUGAGCCUAGGUCGGAUUAGCUAGUUGGUGAGGUAAAGGCCUACCAAGGCGACGAUCCGUAGCUGGUCCGAGAGGAUGAUCAGUCACAGUGGGACGGAGACACGGGCCAGACUGCUACGGGAGGCAGAAGUGGGGAAGAUGGGACAAUGGGCGAAGGCCUGAUCCGGCCAUGCCGCGUGUGUGAAGAAGGUCUUCGGAUAGUAAAGCACUUGAAGUUGGGAGGCGUUACCAACAGCAUAAGCACCGGCUAACUUCGUGCCAGCAGCCGCGGUAAUAC
RNAcentral lists this ribosomal RNA (407 nucleotides) under uncultured bacterium. Its description in RNAcentral is "partial 16S ribosomal RNA". It matches the Rfam family "Bacterial small subunit ribosomal RNA", at positions 29 to 526 of the family's 1533-position model. The record is from RNAcentral.